GUCGCCGCCGCGCCCGCCACGGCCUCUGCCCCACUCGCGGGCCCGGUCCUGUGUGCCGUCUUCGCUCCAGCUGCCCACCGUCUAGACCAGAGGGCAGACGGGGCUCGGGGGGUGAGGACACACAGUCUAGCCAUUGUCCUGCCUGUGACCCAGUCUCUCCCCUACCCCCAGCUGCAGGACUGAAGAGAUCUUUUGAUUUAAAGUACCCAACGACUGGGAGCAAAAUGACUGAGAAUGGAGCAACACCAAUCACAUUAUUAUGCAACAUAGAUCACACACCAACCAAACCAAACUAUGUGAAGACUCAUCCCCGUAAAGAACUGCAAGGAGCUGCUUCUCGGCAGGUGGGACAGAAGAGGGCAGCUUUUUUCUCAUAAGCUGGGGAUGCUGAGUUUUAAAACUAUAAAAAUAAAACUCUGAUAAAAGAAA
Molecule: non-coding RNA, 429 nt
Organism: Microcebus murinus (gray mouse lemur)
Lineage: Eukaryota; Metazoa; Chordata; Mammalia; Primates; Cheirogaleidae
Source: RefSeq, a predicted model, not a curated record